Molecule: long non-coding RNA, 627 nt
Filed under: Citrus maxima (pomelo)
Lineage: Eukaryota; Viridiplantae; Streptophyta; Magnoliopsida; Sapindales; Rutaceae
Description: long non-coding RNA (CMAX_LNC004292)
Source: RNAcentral
AAAGACAAAAUAGAAAAUCUAUAAAGGAAAAGAUAAUAGGAGUUCUUACUUAGUUUUAGAAUCGAAUUGAACCGAAAUAAAAAUUUUCUUUUUGAGUGAUCUGAUUGUGCGAUACCUUUUUUCUUCUCAUUUGAAAAUAUUAUGGGAAUGAACCCACCGCUGAACCUAAUGAGUUAAAAAUAUAAAGUAAAUAAAAUAAAGUCAAAAAGAAAUAAAAAAGAAAAAAAGUAAAGCAAAGGUUAUUUAAAGUAUUAAAGUAAAGAAAAAAGUAUUAUAAGGUGGUCACUCUUUAGUCGAAAAUGUAUUUGAUACAAUAAAAAAGAAAAAAUUAAAAUACAAAAUAGAAGCGAUUCCUCAAAGUUACAUGGCAUAGUUUUUAGUAUUUUUUUAAUAUUAGUUGAUUCAAGAGUUGCCCACUCAAUCUGUUGAUUCGGAAUCGUGGGAUGGGUCGCUGUAAAAGACGAUGAAUUGGUUUCUUUUUCUAUCCCUGCCACUCAUUUUUGUUAGUACCUUCUAGAAUACUUGAAGAAUCAAAACUUUCAAUUGAAGGUAUUCUUUCAAUGGGUAGAGCAUUUUUGCUUAUCUUCGUAUCGUCCAAAAGUGGAAACUUAGGGAAGUGCUUUAUAA